This 223-nucleotide long non-coding RNA is filed under the name Sorghum bicolor (sorghum). RNAcentral's name for it is "long non-coding RNA (SBIC_LNC008970)". Lineage: Eukaryota; Viridiplantae; Streptophyta; Magnoliopsida; Poales; Poaceae. The record is from RNAcentral.
AUUUUUUAAUUUUUUUAGAAAAUGAUUAAGCUAGUUCGUAGUCAACUCAGCAACCAUUUCCCCAGCAACGGCGCCAAAAAUGCUUGUUGACACUUGCUAACACCACUUGAAUACUAGGUUGUCAUCCCCAGCAUGGCACUAGAGUGUACUAUGGUAUUUAUACACACAGAUAAAUCCGCAAGCGCAGAGAUACCGUUGUAGCUUUUACCCGGUUAAAGGUUUU